AUUGAACGCUGGCGGCAGGCCUAACACAUGCAAGUCGAGCGGAUGAAGGGAGCUUGCUCCUGGAUUCAGCGGCGGACGGGUGAGUAAUGCCUAGGAAUCUGCCUGGUAGUGGGGGAUAACGUCCGGAAACGGGCGCUAAUACCGCAUACGUCCUGAGGUAGAAAGUGGGGGAUCUUCGGACCUCACGCUAUCAGAUGAGCCUAGGUCGGAUUAGCUAGUUGGUGGGGUAAAGGCCUACCAAGGCGACGAUCCGUAACUGGUCUGAGAGGAUGAUCAGUCACACUGGAACUGAGACACGGUCCAGACUCCUACGGGAGGCAGCAGUGGGGAAUAUUGGACAAAGGGCGAAAGCCUGAUCCAGCCAUGCCGCGUGUGUGAAGAAGGUCUUCGGAUUGUAAAGCACUUUAAGUUGGGAGGAAGGGCAGUAAGUUAAUACCUUGCUGUUUUGACGUUACCAACAGAAUAAGCACCGGCUAACUUCGUG
Molecule: ribosomal RNA, 484 nt
Filed under: uncultured bacterium
Lineage: Bacteria
Description: partial 16S ribosomal RNA
Rfam family: Bacterial small subunit ribosomal RNA
Source: RNAcentral